CGCAAGCCUGAUGCAGCAACGCCGUGUGAGUGAAGAAGGUUUUCGGAUCGUAAAACUCUGUCCUAAGGGAAGAAACAAAUGACGGUACCUUAGGAGGAAGCCCCGGCUAACUACGUGCCAGCAGCCGCGGUAAUACGUAGGGGGCAAGCGUUAUCCGGAAUCACUGGGCGUAAAGGGUGCGUAGGCGGCUUAGCAAGCCAGGGGUGAAAGGCAUUGGCUCAACCAAUGUAAGCCUUUGGAACUGUUAGGCUUGAGUGCAGGAGAGGUAAGUGGAAUUCCUAGUGUAGAGGUGAAAUUCGUAGAUAUUAGGAGGAACACCAGUGGCGAAGGCGACUUACUGGACUGUAACUGACGCUGAUGCACGAAAGCGUGGGUAGCGAACAGGAUUAGAUACCCUGGUAG
This 402-nucleotide ribosomal RNA is filed under the name uncultured bacterium. RNAcentral's name for it is "bacterial SSU rRNA". It matches the Rfam family "Bacterial small subunit ribosomal RNA", at positions 376 to 793 of the family's 1533-position model. The record is from RNAcentral.